This 497-nucleotide ribosomal RNA is filed under the name uncultured bacterium. RNAcentral's name for it is "partial 16S ribosomal RNA". It matches the Rfam family "Bacterial small subunit ribosomal RNA", at positions 28 to 507 of the family's 1533-position model. The record is from RNAcentral.
GACGAACGCUGGCGGCGUGCCUAAUACAUGCAAGUUGAGCGCUGAAGGUUGGUACUUGUCCCAACUGGCUGAGCAGCGAACGGGUGAGUAACGCGUGGGGAAUCUGCCUUUGAGCGGGGGACAACAUUUGGAAACGAAUGCUAAUACUGCAUAAAAACUUUAAACACAAGUUUUAAGUUUGAAAGAUGCAAUUGCAUCACUCAAAGAUGAUCCCGCGUUGUAUUAGCUAGUUGGUGAGGUAAAGGCUCACCAAGGCGAUGAUACAUAGCCGACCUGAGAGGGUGAUCGGCCACAUUGGGACUGAGACACGGCCCAAACUCCUACGGGAGGCAGCAGUAGGGAAUCUUCGGCAAUGGACGAAAGUCUGACCGAGCAACGCCGCGUGAGUGAAGAAGGUUUUCGGAUCGUAAAACUCUGUUGGUAGAGAAGAACGUUGGUGAGAGUGGAAAGCUCAUCAAGUGACGGUAACUACCCAGAAAGGGACGGCUAACUACGUG